Tetranychus urticae (two-spotted spider mite) is the source of this 978-nucleotide long non-coding RNA. RefSeq lists it as uncharacterized. Lineage: Eukaryota; Metazoa; Arthropoda; Arachnida; Trombidiformes; Tetranychidae. The record is from RefSeq and is a predicted model, not a curated record.
AAGAGUAAAGCUUUACUGACCUCUACAGGCCGUUAAUUAAUUUAUAAUUUAAAAAUGAAAGAUUAAAUUUUUGUUAUAAAAGCAGCUUUUUGUGUUUUGAUCAACUGAAUAUUGCUGAAGGAAAUAUAAUGACUUUCAUUAAGUUGAUAGACAUUUCAAAUUACUGGGAUUAUGUGCGCUUCUUAAAGGCUCCUAUGGAAUCAACGACUUGUCUCAUUGAUUUGUGUCUGGUGAUUGGUAACUUUUUUCAUUACAACUGCCUAAGAUUGCAACGACCAUAGUAAUCGUUAUGAGGAAUAUGAAGAUCAAGAAUUGCUGCUUUUAAUGAUGACUAUUUGCAGAUGACAAUGAUUUUGAUACAGGAGUUAUGGUUACGUUUUUACUCAAGUGGCUCAAAGGAAAUGGAAAAGAUUGAUUAUCUUUUGUUUAUUCAAUUCUUAUAACGGUUUGACUAUUGAAAUCAGACUGUGUAACCUGGUUUACGACGCAACAAAAACCUUGGACCUCUAAGAGCAAAAAAAUAAUGACUAAUUAUUGUACGUUCACCCUUAAUCUCCAGCAAUUCAAAAGGGAUACCAACGAUUUUUGACUCAAGUAUCAAUGCUUAGCUAAGGACAAGCACAAUAACAAAGUGAACAUGAGACAUUGAAAAAACAUUCUUGCUUUCUUCUUUACAAGCUUUAAGGAUCUCACAAUUUGGCUGAAUGAUUAAGGAUGGCUGCUGGUGGAUUUUAGAUUUAGUAAUUACGGAAUUUCAAGUGAAUCUGUUUUCUUCAACUUGCACUUGGAUGAUGUAAAAACAUGAACAAUCCUUAUUUUACUUACUUUUUUAAAAUGGUUGCUGCUAAAUCUUUUGCUUGCAUGGUACGAGUUGUUGAAUUUUCAAUCUUUUCAAUCAAGGCGAUCAAAUUUUCAACACUGGCAGCCAAAGGUGGAUUUGUUUGUCCAUUAAUGAGUGGUGUUAUUUGUCCCAUUGAC